Long non-coding RNA from Saccostrea echinata, 4145 nucleotides. RefSeq lists it as uncharacterized. Lineage: Eukaryota; Metazoa; Mollusca; Bivalvia; Ostreida; Ostreidae. The record is from RefSeq and is a predicted model, not a curated record. The transcript has 9 exons.
AUGACGGAAAUAAGUGUGUUUUCACAAGCCUUAAUGGACAUGAUGUAUGCCUUGUCAAGAAAAUUGUGACAGCUGUAAGAAUGCAGGAGAUGCAGUAUAUUAAAGAAAUUCCAUAGUAAAGUUUGAAUUUUGGCCAGUGAUUGAUCCAAGGAGGCAGAGAUAAACUUGUCUUUGGGAUGACAUUUAGACAAGCGCCUAUACUUCUUGAAGUCUUCAACUUCAGAAUACCACAGGCUUUGGUGGAGAGCUGCAAAUUUUGACAUAUACUCAGCACCCAGGGCCAUUGAACAGUGAGGGAUUUUUUUCAUGCCAGCACCUACUGCGACAUGGGACCUCUGUUUAUACAGUCUCAUUGGAAGAACCGGUAUCCACAUCUCACAGGUGGAUUCGAACCCACAACAUAAGAUGUGGUAUACCCAAGAGUAUAUUAAUCCAUUUAUCCUGGUGCAGUACCCAUCCUAGUGUAUGUAUAUCUCAGAGUUUGGAUGGUGUUCAUCUCCUGAUGACAAGGGAACAAUUGCAUCUGUGAUGUGGUGUGGCCUAACAGUCGCCAGCAUACCUCCCAAAUCUGCCUCAUCUGAAACAAAAAAGUUACCUACCAUUAAUAAAUUGGAUCCUUUAAAGACAGUAAUUUUGGACAUCUGAUGCCAUAAAUGUACGAAAAUGUAAGAUCUGAGGCAGAGAGUGCACUUCAUUCGUUGGACAGUCAUGGAAGAUAAUACUAGUGUCAUCUUGGCUCCACCAAACAUUUUCUCCAAGUUCCAAGUAAUCAGCAAUCCUUUCAAGAUGGCUUUGAAAUAGUGACAUCCUGGCAUUGAUGAAGCUUUUUUUGAAAAUUGUUGGACCUCUGGUUGGAAGGAAUUUGGCCUGCUUACUAAUGACGGAAUCUUGAUGCUGAAAGGAGUCUGGUUUGACUGGAGUAUUUUGCUGGGCAUUAUAUCUGAUUAUUGCAUUUUUUAGAACAUGUGCUGGUUUUCUGUCGCUGGUAUUUAGGGAAAUAUUGCGCAAGGUUCCAAAGCUUCUUUCUUCAUUUUCUGCAAGAAUGGAGCGUAAGCAAAAGAGACGGUAUAUUUCAGGAGCAUGUGUAACAAGACUAUGAAAAUGUGAUCCAUAGAACUUUCUGUUUGACAUUUUGAUUGGGUUUCCUAUGACUGCUUUACAAAGGUGACCAAAAAUGAAUGUUUGGUUGUAGAGUCGCAGAAUUUGUCGUGGAUUUCUGGCAUCUUCUUUGCUGUAUGCAAUUGAAAUGAUAUCUGUCAAGGAAUUGCAUAAGUCAACAACCUGCUCACUGACUUUGCCCUCAUCAUGCUUUGUUUGUGUAAACUUUGUUAACUUUAAUGCAUAUAAUCUGGCAUCAGACCCCCUGAUUUGAUUUCUAUCCCCAAUUGUGAUAUUGCUAAAUAUCUCAUAUUCUUUCUGUAUUGAUUUGUUUGAUAGAUGGUAUGGAAGCUCCGUAAUUAAAUUGGUGACCAUGUUUGAAAGAUCAUGAAGAGGCUCACACAUUAAAACUUCAUACUUCUCUAGAUUUAGAUCUUUUAGAGGAUUUUGACUUUCUAUACUUGUACAGAAGAGGGCAGGUGGCCUUUGUAUUCCCUCCAAGUGUUCUGCAAGUUGUUUAGAAACGCUCUCUUUCCUUGUGUCCAAAAUAUCCAGCCUGCGCUCAUCUAGCUCAUCAAUAAUUUGUUGGACUUUGAGGUGUACAAAUGGGUUCGGAUUGGUUGAGAUGUUAAAAUUUUGCCACUGAAUGCCAUUUUUGAACAGGUCAAGUCUUGCUUGCAGUGAUUUUGCAGGUUGUCUAAAGCAGCACUCUAAAUUUUGAUGACUGUCCACAUGAACCCCACAUAAACAACUGUAAUGUCCUCCCCUUUGAUGUCCCGAUUCGAACUGUCGUGCAGGAUUAUCUCCACUGAACACACGGAACACAUCUUGAUAUGGAGCAUUUGUAGUUUUGCAGAUUACUGGAGUGUUGAUCUCCUUUAGGUCAUCUGUCCUGGUUUUUACAUAUGUGAGCUGAUCCUUAUCCGAGCUACCGGAUUGGCCAAGUAUGUAAAGGUGAGGCUUUUCUACUAUAGACUGAACAUCAUGUUUUUUGUAGGGAAACUUUUUUCUGAACUCCUCGUUGGAAAGAAAAACGGCAGGAUCAUAAAUGCAAGAAACCAUGAAAUUAACAUACGUAUGAUUUAGUAUGUCUGAAUGGUCGUGCCAGCACUUCCAAUGUCUUGUUCUCUCUGUAGACUUAAGAAGGGUCAAGUUUUCAAUGACAUGUCAUUGAAGGAAUUGGAAGGAUUUUGAAGAGGGGAAUGUACUGAAGGAAGUAUGGAGAUGGACCUAUUUUAUGGGAAGCAAAUCCAUUGUGCCACCUGGAUAUUUUAACUUCUUGUGCUCAUCUGCAGGGGUCAUUUGCUCAUCGAAAAAUAAGGAAAUUGUGAUGUGGUGGAAUAUAGACAUUGUCUGUAGGAAAUCAAAUAAUGGAUUGAACCCAGGUGGAAGAGAGCUGUAUUCCUCAUCUGAUGUACUCCUCAAGACUCCCAGCGUUUCCUGUUCGUUGAGUGAUUGCUCCCUGAUCUUAAGGAGAGUAAACUUCCGACCAUAUAUCUCUUCCUGAUUCACAACAAGCUCACCCGUGUUGUUUAUUUUGUUGGUAUCAAAAACUUUUGGGGCAAUACAAAUACCAAUAUCGUAGAUACCAUCGUUAAUUUUUUGCUCUAGGGUUUUUCUGAUUUUUUUGGCUGGUCUUUGAUGAGGCACAGCUAGUCCACGUACUCUGAGGUACUUUCUCCUGACUCUUUGUAUAAUGUCCCUACCACUUACAAUUUUUUGUGGAUUGAAUAUCUGUGUUUUAAUACCAUUUUCAGAAGCAAACUGCUUGAGAAUUUGACCAGCAUUUGAAGGAAAAAUUCCUGCCUUGUUAGUUAUAUUGUAUUUUUUCCCUAAUGCUGUCCAGUUCACAUUUUCACCUUUGUUUUCUUUUAAUUCAAGUAGAAAAGCUUUUUUGUUAAAUGAGUACUUUUCAAACUUCCCAUGGUGUUUUUUCUGUUUUUUCAAACCCAGUUUUAUUUUGUUAGAAUUUUUUUCAGCAGAUUUUUUUGCAGAUUCUGGAGUUUCAAAAUACUUGUUCAUUCUUUCUCUUUCGUAUUGACUGUAUGAACUACCCGUACACAAAAAAUUGUCUACAUCAUUGUUUGGAUUGAACAAUGUGUCUUGCAUUUUGUAGUUGUUUUCUUUAAGCUUUUUAACAUUUUGUUUUUGUUUUUCUGUUGAAUUUUCUUUUGGUUCUAGGUGGAAUGUUUUUUCAACACAUUCUUUCAAAUCUACAUCCAACUUCUGUUUUAAUAAGGGAUUUAAAGUGUUUAGGAACUUUUGAACUUUCUUGUUUGUUAUUUCAGGGGAGGUAAUUUUAUCUGACAUCAUGGAAUUGGUAACAUUUGAGGACAAUUUUUCAAACUGUAUGGUCUCAUUUGUAGCAGAUGCGUGUAACCCAGAUUCUGUUUGCUGGCAUUUUUGACAAUUGCAUAGUUCAUGAGAUUUUCGUUCUGAUUCAGAGAGCUGAAGCCAGGAGACUAAACUGUAUGUUUCAAUGAAAGAUCUUUUUUCCCCAGAUUUAUUUGAAUUUUUGAAAAAUUUUGAACUGGUGAGAUAGGUUUGAACUCGUGAGACUUUGCGAUGAAACUGACUUUUACUGAUGUACAUUUUUGGAUAUUUAUGCAUGACUUGAGUAUAGAAUAGAUAUCUCUGAUUUUCACUAAUGGUGGUGUCAUACUUUGGUACAUUAUUCUGCAGUUGGGGGCUGCCAUUGACAUAGUUGUUCCAGUAGUUAAUAGCUGAAGAAUCUUUUGAGGAUCUACCAAUAAUUACUUUUGCGAAGUGACAGAGGUUCAUGAUGAAAAGUUGAUAAAUGACUUACAGAUGAUAUUGCAUACUGCCAGGAAUGUUUAUGGUUGCCAAAGAAUUUUAGGUUGAAGAAUAACCAUUCUUCUCAUUGAUUCCGUCUAAAGGUCAUUGGUAGAAGCAUGCCUUGGAAUUUAUAGUCUCAAAAAAAGUUCUUAUUAUUAUUUAAAUGUAUUUUCAUAUUUUUGGUUUUUUGUAAUUGAUUUAUAAAUACUGAUGAAUUUUAUAAAGAUGAAUAAAUUAUUUUUAAAAAUGUA